This 465-nucleotide ribosomal RNA is filed under the name uncultured bacterium. RNAcentral's name for it is "partial 16S ribosomal RNA". It matches the Rfam family "Bacterial small subunit ribosomal RNA", at positions 28 to 507 of the family's 1533-position model. The record is from RNAcentral.
GUCGAACGCUGGCGGCGUGCUUAACACAUGCAAGUCGUACGGUAAGGCCCUUUCGGGGGUACACGAGUGGCGAACGGGUGAGUAACACGUGAGUAACCUGCCCACAGCUUUGGGAUAACGCUAGGAAACUGGUGCUAAUACUGGAUAUGUGCUCCUGCUGCAUGGUGGGGGUUGGAAAGCUCCGGCGGUUGUGGAUGGACUCGCGGCCUAUCAGCUUGUUGGUGGGGUAGUGGCCUACCAAGGCGGCGACGGGUAGCCGGCCUGAGAGGGUGACCGGCCACAUUGGGACUGAGAUACGGCCCAGACUCCUACGAGAGGCAGCAGUGGCAAAUAUUGCACAAUGGGCGCAAGCCUGAUGCAGCAACUCCGCGUGCGGGAUGACGGCCUUCGGGUUGUAAACCGCUUUCAGCAGGGACGAAGCUUUUUGUGACGGUACCUGCAGAAGAAGCACCGGCUAACUACGUG